GCCGGUGUGGCGGAAUGGCAGACGCGCGAGACUCAAAAUCUCGUUUGGGCAACCAAGUGUCGGUUCGACCCCGACCACCGGCACCA
This 86-nucleotide transfer RNA is filed under the name Clostridiales bacterium. RNAcentral's name for it is "tRNA-Leu". It matches the Rfam family "tRNA". From Rfam's summary of the family: Transfer RNA (tRNA) molecules are approximately 80 nucleotides in length. Their secondary structure includes four short double-helical elements and three loops (D, anti-codon, and T loops). The record is from RNAcentral. Lineage: Bacteria; Bacillati; Bacillota; Clostridia; Eubacteriales.